CCAUUCAACCAUUUUUACAUAUUCAGAUGUCCUUAAUCAGUGAGGAACUGCCAUUUAGUAACUGAUCGCAAAUUAUAUACCAUCACAAUAGGAUAUUAUAGUUCCUUUAUAGACUUUCAUUGCAUCACUUCAAUUUUCUGACUCCUUCCUUUAAAGGCUGUUUCUCUGAACUUCUGUGGCUCUGUAAAAAUACUUACUUAUCUCACUAUUUUAUUCUAACAUACAGAAAUGCUUCAAAAAUUGCCUACUGACUCUUCAUUGGCAGGUAAUAUAACUUCAUAGGAAACAAGUCAUGCUAGAUAAUAUUGGGGCUUGGAUUUCUAUUUGUUUACAAGAAACUCAUCUCUGAUCUACAUCUGUGUCUAUUUCAUCAUAUUAGACGAGGGUCUCAUAUUUGUGUUUAAAAAUCUUGUGCAAUCUUAAAAUGGAAAUGUUUAUUUCUAAAAACCCAUUUUUCUUUCCAGGAGGAUAUAAAAGGGUCUUUAACCCAUAAAUAUAACAUUCAUGCUUAACUUGUCAAUCAAAAAUAGCUCCACUUCAAUCAAAAUAGUGAAAUUUAAAUAUGUGUGUACGCACACACACACACACACUAUAUAUAUAUAGAGAGAGAGAGAGAGAGAAUUGAAACUCCUCUGGUACUACAGGCUUUUUGGUGAGCCAGAGGUACUCAGACAUUUUUUUUUAACUGAAAGUACUGAAGGACUUAAUUUGGGCAAAAAUACAUUAAAAUCCCACAGAUAAAGCAGAACAGAAAAAAAGCUUUGGGUGUUAGCAGCAGUGAAAAUUCUGCCACCUGUUACACAAGAGAAACUCCUUUGACUGCAGCAGAGUUGGAGAGGUAUACCUUAAUGAGGGGCAAUAAUGGCACGUUGCCAACUACACCAACGAAAACCAUAACGUCGUGGUUUUGGACUUGGCAAGGCAGAUGAAGGAGGAGGUGAUUUUCAAAAUCUUAGUUUUAAAAUGGAAAUAUUCUUCUCAUGUUAUGUCUACUCCAUAUAUGCAGUAUUCUGUUACUUAUUGCGGAUUAUAAUAGGAAAAUCUUCUUUUAAUUAAGAACUUCAGCAGCUCACCUUUAACUGCCAAUCAUUGGAUAAUUGGCCCUUUUCUAAUAGGCACUGCAGCUCAGGUAUGCUAAAGUGACUGUUUCUCAGAAUAACUUAGUGAUAGUAAGUUA
This 1177-nucleotide long non-coding RNA is filed under the name Struthio camelus australis. RNAcentral's name for it is "lncRNA (ENSSCUG00000016696.1)". Lineage: Eukaryota; Metazoa; Chordata; Aves; Struthioniformes; Struthionidae. The record is from RNAcentral.